Molecule: ribosomal RNA, 776 nt
Filed under: uncultured Neocallimastigales
Lineage: Eukaryota; Fungi; Neocallimastigomycota; Neocallimastigomycetes; Neocallimastigales
Description: partial large subunit ribosomal RNA
Rfam family: Eukaryotic large subunit ribosomal RNA
Source: RNAcentral
UAUGUGAUCGUCUCUCGCAUAUCAAUAAGCGGAGGAAAAGAAACUAACAAGGAUUCCCCUAGUAACGGCGAGUGAAGCGGGAAGAGCUCAAAUUUGAAAUCUUAAAGGGUUUCCCUUUACGAAUUGUAGCUUUAAAGAAGUGUUUUCUGUUGAGGUUUUGGUAAAAGUUCUUUGGAAUAGGACAUCAUAGAGGGUGAGAAUCCCGUAUUUGACCUUUACUUUCAACUUUGUGAUACACUUUCAAAGAGUCGGAUUGUUUGGGAAUGCAGUCCAAAAUGGGUGGUAAAUUUCAUCUAAAGCUAAAUAUUGGCGAGAGACCGAUAGCGAACAAGUACCGUGAGGGAAAGAUGAAAAGAACUUUGAAAAGAGAGUUAAACAGUACGUGAAAUUGUCAAAAGGGAAGUGUUUGACACCAGUGUUGUUUUUCUGAAAAUCAAUUAAAGAACUGUUUAUGCUAAGCUGUUUAGACUUUAUCAGCUAAUCUGUUUAGUUUUGAGCUUUUCUUUAAUGCACUUUUCAGUUAACAAGUCAACAUCAAUUUCUUUUGCUGUAAAAAAGCUUGAGGAAGGUGGCUUGAGAUUCGUCUUAAGUGUUUAUAGCCUCUUGCCUAUGCAGUCGGAGAGAUUGAGGUCUGCAGCGUAGAUCCUUCGGGGCUAAAUGCAUUUGUGCUAAGUUAUAGCAUUUUAUAGACAACUUGUUGACUAUGAUUUGUCUUGUAGCUUACUCGCUUAUGUUAUUUUACCUACGCUUAGGAUGUUGACUGAUAUGUAGUCGUA